CCUACGGGAGGCAGCAGUGAGGAAUAUUGGUCAAUGGGCGAGAGCCUGAACCAGCCAAGUAGCGUGAAGGAUGACUGCCCUAUGGGUUGUAAACUUCUUUUAUAUGGGAAUAAAGUGAAGUAUGUAUACUUUUUUGUAUGUACUUUAUGAAUAAGGAUCGGCUAACUCCGUGCCAGCAGCCGCGGUAAUACGGAGGAUCCGAGCGUUAUCCGGAUUUAUUGGGUUUAAAGGGAGCGUAGGAGGGUUGUUAAGUCAGUUGUGAAAGUUUGCGGCUCAACCGUAAAAUUGCAAUUGAUACUGGGUGUCUUGAGUGCAGUAGAGGUAGGCGGAAUUCGUGGUGUAGCGGUGAAAUGCUUAGAUAUCACGAAGAACUCCGAUUGCGAAGGCAGCUUACUAGACUGUAACUGACGUUGAUGCUCGAAAGUGUGGGUAUCAAACAGGAUUAGAUACCCGUGUAGUC
RNAcentral lists this ribosomal RNA (460 nucleotides) under uncultured bacterium. RNAcentral's name for it is "partial 16S ribosomal RNA". It matches the Rfam family "Bacterial small subunit ribosomal RNA", at positions 338 to 795 of the family's 1533-position model. The record is from RNAcentral.